CUAAUCUUAAAUAAUCCUUAACCAAUUGCUUGUCUAGAAAUAUGGGGGUACUAAUCUCAUGGAGGUCCUGUACAACUGCACAGGUCGCACGCCCCUGGGAUGAUGACGUUAAAGUCGGCAUAGGCGGGCCGGGAAUUGUUAUCUAGAAGAACUAUGGCAUGUCUAAAUCUACUAACCAACCAAACAUGUGCUUCAAUUGAUGUGGUAACCACACUUGUAGCUUGGCGAGUAGUGGUUUGAAACCAAGGACGCCUUCAUUCUGCAACCAUCAAAGGUAAUGUGGUGCUCUCUCAGGGAAUCUUGGUAACUGCAGUGGCACCACAUAGGUUAAUGUGCUGAUUGGAAAAUGGAAUGCAGGAUUUGGAGAACACAUCAUGUGUAACUAUGGGUUACGGUGAUGCAUAAAAAAAUCAUCCACAAAAAUGAAUAGAUAGAGCAUGUAAACAUCAUCAUCAUGCAAUGUUUGAGGUUGAACAAAAAC
RNAcentral lists this long non-coding RNA (481 nucleotides) under Setaria viridis. RNAcentral's name for it is "long non-coding RNA (SVIR_LNC007431)". Lineage: Eukaryota; Viridiplantae; Streptophyta; Magnoliopsida; Poales; Poaceae. The record is from RNAcentral.